ACCCUGUCACCGUGCGUGUGAAGAAAACUCGUCGAGAGCGAGGGGGGAUGUUGUGGCGUUGAGAGGAAGUUUUGACAUGUUGUUGUUGUGAGGGCUCCAUGGUGAGCGCAAUCAGCUCACGGAAACUUUGAGCGUGGGUGAGAAGUUUGGCUGGAAUUCUAGUGCAGGAGGAGACACAGAUGCUCUCUGACUGCUGAGAUAGCAGCCGACCUCAGCUCCGCACUCUCUCACGAAACACUCACGGAUGACGUGUCCGACAAAAUCCUCUCCCAACAAACUCCAGAGGCAGUCUGUGACCCGGUUUAAAUAGAUGGCAUCAUCUGGAGACUGAUCGGCAGCUCUUAUCUUUAGUUGGCCGCGACCCUGUGCUGCUUCUGUGUGAUGGGCCUCAUCCUUAACGCUGUGUGUUCGUAUGCAGCCGGGAACAAACACUCAGCACCACUGCCUGCCUUUACAACAGACUGGACACCUUCCAAUAACUCAGCCGCUCAAAUCUCCACUUAGUUAUGACAGCCUGUCAUGUGAUGUCAGAUUGUAAAAAUUGCUUAAAUGGUUUAAUGACAAGUGAGGAGCUGCACUAUGUCUAUCUCGUCUCUCGCUGUCUGUCCCUGCCUUCAUCACCCCAUCUCUCAUUCUGCUCCUUUUCUCGCUUUGUCUCUCUUUCUCUCUCAAUUUCAUCUGGUUCGUUUUGACCUGAUUUCGCUGAUUAAGUGUAGCGAGUGCGUGGAGGGUCGCUGUUACAGUUUUGAGUUAGAAUGGGAAUUUAACGAUUCCGAUUUCAUUUAAUUUCUUUACUUUAUUUUAGUACUUGGAAGACAUGCUUCUC
Cyprinus carpio (common carp) is the source of this 826-nucleotide long non-coding RNA. RefSeq lists it as uncharacterized. The record is from RefSeq and is a predicted model, not a curated record. The transcript is spliced from 3 exons. NCBI's taxonomy places the organism in Eukaryota, Metazoa, Chordata, Actinopteri, Cypriniformes, Cyprinidae.